UUUUUUAAGAAGUAAUUCAUAUCUACAUCAGUGCUGGUUUUUAAUGAAUUUUUCAAAUCAAUUUAGGAAAUGCAGGAAGCAAAGAAUAAAGGAUGUGCAAAUCGUUGAAGAGAAAAAGAUAGAUAUAUUUUUUUCUCCAUUGACUAGAAUAGCACGUGGUAGCAGGCAGGUAAUGAGGAGUGGCACAGACCUGGAGGUGCUUUAAUCUUCUUCCCUACAGUGUCAGAAGCAGCUCGUGCUGCCGUUGGGCUAUAAGAGGCACAAAACUUUGUGUUUUCUUCUUCUUCCUUUAGAAAUCUCCUUUGGUAAAAUUACAAACAGUUGGAAUUUUCUACUAUUCUGAUGUCUCUCCAGACAUGCAAAAACAUAUUCUGGAAUCUUGGACAUUAUCAUCUGUUUCCUGCUUUGGAAGGAAUGCGUUGCUGUGUUCAAGGGUGGUACUUACAGCACCUUACUUUGGUUGCGUUUGGAGAUGCUUCUAGACUGUGGUCUCAGAUGCCAGCAGGGGUGCUAGGACCUACAAACACGAUGUAGCCUUUACAAGAAGGUUUUAAGUUCAAAGUGCAAUAUGAAAAGGAGGAAGCUGCCAUCUUAAUAUGCUGGAGUGAGAAUAAAGUGUAAACUCUGACUGCUCCUAUCUUUUGGAGUCAGAGCU
RNAcentral lists this long non-coding RNA (655 nucleotides) under Gallus gallus (chicken). Its description in RNAcentral is "long non-coding RNA NONGGAT007783". The record is from RNAcentral. Lineage: Eukaryota; Metazoa; Chordata; Aves; Galliformes; Phasianidae.